UUUUGACCACAUUUUAUUAAAAAUGUACCGGUAAGGUUAACUAAUAAAUCCCUUGCAAUUUUGUUAAUUUUGGCCAAAAAUGAAAUUUCUUGAAUGUUGCCAGUAAGAUGCCAGAGGGUCCCUUUAGCACAGUACUUAAUGUUUUGUGGGACAAAUCUACUGUUCAACGCAUUCAGUCAGGUUAACCCUUGGAAAUUAAUUGCGGAAGGUUAUCCCUUUGGAACUUAAUUGUGCAAGGUUAACCCCUUGGAACUUAAUUGUGUAAGGUUAACCCCUUGGAACGUAAUUGUGCAAGGUUAGCCCCUUGGAACUUAUUUCUGUAAGGUUAGCCCCUUGGAAUUUAAAUGUGCAAGGUUAACCCCUUGGAACUUAAUUCUGUAAGGUUAACCCCUUGGAACUUAAUUGUGUAAGGUUAACCCCUCGGAACCUCAUUUUGUAAGGUGUUAACCUUGGAACUUAAUGCUGUAAGAUUAACCCCUUGGAACUUAAUGUUAUAAUAAUCAAUUGUCGUAGAAAAAAAAAACAUAAACACACUGCUCAGAAUAAAAGUUAAACUAGUUUUUAUUUCAAAGAUAAAUCAUUAGCUUCAUUAUUCAAACAUAGGCCUGGAAAUACUAAUCGCAAUUGUUGAUUGUUUUUGGUAUAAUAAAUUCACUUCUGUCAAAUUGUGAUUUAUAUUAUAAGGAACUUCAAGUUCUAAUGCUUCUUUGUCUUUUAUAAAUGUGAAACAUAGUUUCAAAAAGUCAUUAUGAUCAAUCAUAUUUAAAGUAAUUUGAGACUGGAAGAUUAAAAAUAAAUUUUGUCUGCAGUGUCAAAGGCAUAAAACUGGUAAGACUAGUACACUGGUUGACGAUUCAUAGUGCAUUCUAUAUUUCAGAUAUUUAAAUGUCAUUAUUUUAUUUCAAAUUGAUAAA
This is a long non-coding RNA of Patiria miniata (bat star), 914 nucleotides long. RefSeq lists it as uncharacterized. The record is from RefSeq and is a predicted model, not a curated record. NCBI's taxonomy places the organism in Eukaryota, Metazoa, Echinodermata, Asteroidea, Valvatida, Asterinidae. The transcript is spliced from 2 exons.